UCUUGGACAAUGGGGGCAACCCUGAUCCAGCCAUGCCGCGUGAGUGAUGAAGGCCUUAGGGUCGUAAAGCUCUUUCGCCUGUGAUGAUAAUGACAGUAGCAGGUAAAGAAACCCCGGCUAACUCCGUGCCAGCAGCCGCGGUAAUACGGAGGGGGUUAGCGUUGUUCGGAAUUACUGGGCGUAAAGCGCGCGUAGGCGGAUUAGUCAGUUAGAGGUGAAAUCCCAGGGCUCAACCCUGGAACUGCCUUUAAUACUGCUAGUCUUGAGUUCGAGAGAGGUGAGUGGAAUUCCGAGUGUAGAGGUGAAAUUCGUAGAUAUUCGGAGGAACACCAGUGGCGAAGGCGGCUCACUGGCUCGAUACUGACGCUGAGGUGCGAAAGUGUGGGGAGCAAACAGGAUUAGAUACCCUGGUAG
This 414-nucleotide ribosomal RNA is filed under the name uncultured Nautella sp. RNAcentral's name for it is "bacterial SSU rRNA". It matches the Rfam family "Bacterial small subunit ribosomal RNA", at positions 362 to 793 of the family's 1533-position model. Lineage: Bacteria; Pseudomonadati; Pseudomonadota; Alphaproteobacteria; Rhodobacterales; Roseobacteraceae. The record is from RNAcentral.